This 125-nucleotide ribosomal RNA is filed under the name Microtus ochrogaster (prairie vole). The record is from RNAcentral. Lineage: Eukaryota; Metazoa; Chordata; Mammalia; Rodentia; Cricetidae.
GUCUAUGGUCACAACACCCUGAAUGCACUUAAACCUGGUGUGAUCUUGAAAGCUCGGCAGAGCCAGGCCUGGCUAAUAUUUUGGUGGAAGAAUGCUGAGUGAAAAAUGCUGGGCAUGAAUGGGUU